Small nuclear RNA from Ipomoea nil (Japanese morning glory), 161 nucleotides. It matches the Rfam family "U1 spliceosomal RNA". Rfam says of the family: U1 is a small nuclear RNA (snRNA) component of the spliceosome (involved in pre-mRNA splicing). Lineage: Eukaryota; Viridiplantae; Streptophyta; Magnoliopsida; Solanales; Convolvulaceae. The record is from Rfam.
AUACUUACCUGGACGGGGUCAAUGAGCGAUCAUGAAGGCUCAUGGCCUAGGCUAGUGGCCUUCAUUGCACUUUGGUGGUGCAUUAGGCUAAGGUCUACCUAAUAGGUGGAGCCUACGUCAUAAUUUGUGGCAGCGGGGGCUUGCGUUCGCGCAGCCCCUAU